UACAGAGGGUGCGAGCAUUAAUCGGAUUUAUUGGGCGUAAAGGGCGUCUAGGCGGGAUUGUAAGUCAGGUGUGAAAUUUCGGAGCUCAACUUCGAAGCUGCACUUGAAACUACAAUUCUUGAGGGUAGGCGGAGAAAGCGGAAUUCCACGUGUAGCGGUGAAAUGCGUAGAUAUGUGGAAGAACACCCGUGGCGAAAGCAGCUUUCUAGCUUAUUCCUGACGCUGAAGCGCGAAAGCAAGGGGAGCAAACAGG
This 253-nucleotide unclassified non-coding RNA is filed under the name uncultured Chlamydiales bacterium. RNAcentral describes it as "contains 16S-23S intergenic spacer region". It matches the Rfam family "Bacterial small subunit ribosomal RNA", at positions 524 to 776 of the family's 1533-position model. Lineage: Bacteria; Pseudomonadati; Chlamydiota; Chlamydiia; Chlamydiales. The record is from RNAcentral.